AAACGAACUGACUCACCAGCAGCUGGGGGAGGGGAGGGAGCAGGGAGCCCCCAUGCUGUGACUAACGUCGCUGCUGGCCCCUCAACAUCAUCAGUUGACUUUCUCCACUCACUCCCUUCCUGAUUCUGUCCAGAUCACAUUUGUUCUGAAGGACUUGAGUCACCUCACCACAUCCCUUUUGUGACCACAGUGAAGUCUUCAUAAAGGGACAGCUGGCCCAAAGGAGGGGAGAUCCUACAGAUAAAAUGAAGAGGAAACUUCUUUGACGGUUCCACGGUGCCGGCCCUGCCCCAUGGGACUGGCUGUGGCUGGAAUGCAGUAUCCAAUUACCACGUGGUCUCAACCCCCGUGUGGGUGGCUGUGUGGUGAGAACCACAGGCAGACGACAGCUGUCCUUCUGUGCAGAGUGGCUCCCCAACCAGACUCUGCGGGGUGUUACAGUGUUCCCUGAGGGAGGUCGCUUCUGAGUGCUGGGGCCACAGACUAAACAGACAAUUAAAACUCAUCUGAGUUUUGGCAGUUUCUCCAAAAGCAUUUCUACUCCUGCUUUUUUGUUUUUUGGUGUAUGCUUUUCAACUUCAAGGAACACACUUUCCUCUGCAAAGGAAUUAUACUGAAUCGCCUAGCCAUUGCACGCAGGCCUCCCCUCUCCUGAAGAUGAACUUGGCAACUGCUUCACCAUGACAUCCUGCACAUCCAGAGAGAUGGCCCUUUUCUUCUUCUUGUGCUACACAGCCUCGCUCUCCUGUAUGAAGGGACGAUGCAGUGUUCACUUCCACCAGACUAGCUCCACUCGAGCCACAGGCUCUCCUCACAUUUCUGCUUGUUUGGGUAACUCGUUGUGGAUGGGCCCCCAGGGGCAGCUUCUAUUCUAAACCUGUGUCGUCCUGGAGGCCAGAGUCAGCACAGCCAGCCUGCCUCCAAAAGUACGAGUCCAAGGCCAAAAGUAUUGAAUCCUUCUGAAAGCAUCACUUCAUCAGGUUUGCACUGGACGGAGGAACCGGCCUUGGAAGACCUGCCAUAUCUGCAGCCCCCUUUAAGGACCGGUGCUAUUCCGGUGGAGCUGUGGCACAUGGGCCAGAGCUGAUUGGAUCAAGUGACACCCGACCCGAGGGCUGCCCUUCUGUAGGUCAGCCAGCAUCCUAUGAGGUAGCCCGGCCCAGGAGCCAGUGCUGCCUGAACCAAUCAAAUUCUUCUGCUUAGGGAGUUUGGAUGCAACAUAGAGGGGCAGCCAAGUGGUUGUUAGUGAGAGAAGCAGAAUGAUAAAGAAAAGCAAGGACGGAGAGAUGAUCAGUCUGUGGCGGCAGAGGGAAGUAGGGUCAAUGCACAGCUCCUGGAGAGAAGCUGCAGAUCCAGGGCAAUGUAAAACCCAGAGGCCCCAUCACGGUGCCCCCCACAUCCCCAGUACCUACCUCACCACGCUGGGUUCCUGAUAAAGCUCGUUAAAUGGGCCCGGUGUGCAUUCUCGAAACGCCUCCUUGCCCUGAACCACCUGCCAUGUGUUUUCAUACAGGUGAGUUAGGUGUGCCGCUCAGUGGGGGCUCUGGCACCCUUCCUAGAGUUACAAUCUGUGAAACUGAGGCCCUGCGGGAAGGGUGGAUUGAUGCACAUUUCCAGAUUUGAGGCUGGGAGGAGCCACCACUGCGAGACUUUCCUCCCCAAUCAUGUCCUUCUCAGAGCUUCAGUGAGGACAGUUGUCCCUGCAGUGCCCCGGCAAGAGAAAUCCCAGACCUCUCUGUCUUUGAGUGGUAAGGACCACUCGCAAGCACCCACUAUUUCGUUGGGUCCCAUGAGUCCCCUCCCCUCAACGUCGUACUCUGCUCUGGCCGGGCCAUACAGUUCGAGGGGAGUGAAACUGGAGAAGAAUGUGUGGAAGUUUGUGGCUUUCAUCUCUUAAACAAAUAGCAAAUUCCUCUGGGCUGCGGCUGCUGGAAUUGAACAAUGAUGUGUUCCGGGAGGCGCUAAGGCGUUACCUUGGCAACACCCAGGCUGUUUUCAGCCUGCCUUUCAGCUGAGUUUCCUCCCGGCUCCCCCAAGCGCGUCCCACGUCUGUGAAAUCGUCUACUAGAAUACUAAUUGGAGGCUAAGAACAGGCAGCGUGCUACGUGGGGGAUGGGUUAGAAAGCGAAAGGCGUCACCACUGUGACCACCUAAUCAGGAAGCGAUGUGCGUGAAGCCUGCCAGGUUGGCUUUUGAAAUCGUGAAGGUCACGGGAGUUACUUCAAACAUGACCCAGAUGCUUGCACCUUAGGCAGUCGGCGGCGUGUACCGUGGCAGUCCAUCAGACCCUUGCCCCUCACAGUGUGGUCCGGGGGCCAGCCACAGAGCAUCACCUGGGAGCUUGAGGAGAUGCAGACGAUCAGGUUGCCCCAGGCCUACCGACCAGGUCUGUGUUUUGACAAGACCCCCAGGUGACUCACAGCACCUACCUUUGUCACGUCAAGGUGGAUUCCUAAAAUAAGGUGGCAGUCCAGUACAAAAGCAGGCAUACCUGGUUUGCUGACAACGCAUUUUGGUGUGUUUGUUUUUUAACAUUGAUUCUUUGUGGUGAUGAUGACAAUGAUGGUGCUGAUGAUGAAGAUGACAUCAGGUACUGUUAUGAGUUGACUUGUGUCCCCACAAAAGGAUAUGUUCAAGUCCUACUAACCCUUGGUACCUGCGAAUGUAACCUAAUUUGGAUAUGAGGUCUUUGCAGAUGCAAGUUAAGUCGAGGUCAUCAGGGUGGACCCUAAUCCAAUGACUGGUGUCCUUAUAAAGGAGAGGGAAAUUUGGAUACAGACACCCAGAGAGAAUAGCAUGUGAUGACACAGGCAGAGAUUGGAAUGACCCUGUCACAAGCCAAGGAACGCCAAGGACUGCGCCAAGGACAUCAGCCAGAAACUAGGAGAGAAGCCUGGAUCAGAUUCUCCUGCUGAGAACGUAAGAAGGAACCAACAAGUUGAUACCUCCGUUUUGGACCUCCUGCCUCCAGAACUGUCAGAAUAUAAAUUUCUGUGGUUUCAAGCCA
RNAcentral lists this long non-coding RNA (3007 nucleotides) under Equus caballus (horse). RNAcentral's name for it is "lncRNA (ENSECAG00000050120.1)". The record is from RNAcentral. Lineage: Eukaryota; Metazoa; Chordata; Mammalia; Perissodactyla; Equidae.